Molecule: ribosomal RNA, 253 nt
Filed under: uncultured bacterium
Lineage: Bacteria
Description: partial 16S ribosomal RNA
Rfam family: Bacterial small subunit ribosomal RNA
Source: RNAcentral
UACGUAGGGUGCAAGCGUUGUCCGGAAUUAUUGGGCGUAAAGAGCUCGUAGGCGGUCUGUCGCGUCUGCUGUGAAAACUCAGGGCUUAACCCUGAGCUUGCAGUGGGUACGGGCAGACUAGAGUGCGGUAGGGGAGACUGGAAUUCCUGGUGUAGCGGUGAAAUGCGCAGAUAUCAGGAGGAAAACCGGUGGCGAAGGCGGGUCUCUGGGAAGUAACUGACGCUGAGGAGCGAAAGCAUGGGGAGAGAACAGG